Long non-coding RNA from Dermochelys coriacea (leatherback sea turtle), 3229 nucleotides. RefSeq lists it as uncharacterized. The record is from RefSeq and is a predicted model, not a curated record. Lineage: Eukaryota; Metazoa; Chordata; Testudines; Dermochelyidae. The transcript has 4 exons.
GGUGCGCAUACACUCCAUGAGCCUGAGACCAGAAGAUUUUUUCACUAGCAGUGUCGGUUGGUCUGCAACUGCACCCUGUGCAACGAACUGAGGACACAAGGGGUUGGGCAGACCAACAGCAUCUCCAGCUCCAGCUCCUUCUCUACUACAAAUUAUCUUAGGGAAGGAUUCAAAGCAGAGGGAAAGGAAGGAAGGUCAUGGAAUACCCAUAGAGAUCUCACAUCUCAAAAAACUCCAGUUACUGUAAGAUAUCUUCCUGCUGUUAUGGAGAACAGUUUGAGCCUCUUCAGAGGAUGACCCCUUUGUGUCCACUGUCCACCCAAAUACCAGGCUGUGAGGUGGAGGGCUAUUGGCUUGGGAUGGUUGAGCUUGCCCUCAUUCUGCAGGUUCAGAAAUGGCUGGAUGCGUAUGUGUAGAUGUGAAAGCAUCUGGGAAAUGCCGGUAAAACAAAAUUGUCUUGGCCAUCAGGGAGCCACUAAGAUUAUUGAUACUCUAUCCUGCUUGAUUUUCCUCAGGACUCAAGAGAAAUGGGCUGUAGAAAUAUUGGCUCCCACUAGGGACUGCUGGACCCAGCAGAGCCCAGCUCACGAGGCUGCAGGAAGGGGGAGCAAACUGGAGGGUUCCCAGAAGCUGCAAUUCCUUGCACACACUGAAGGAAGGAGGCAGCAGCACACAGAAAACUCCGAUAAACAAGAGCUCUAAACUGCACAAGAAUUUGAUUGGAUUUGGCAACCAUUAUGCUAGACAUCUGUACUCUCACAAACCGUUCCUACACGUUUAUACACUGAAUUAGUCUUUCAUUAUGCAGCUGAACUCCAAAUAAACAAAAGGAUUGCACAAUUUGUUACUUUUGUAGGCCGAACACAUUACACAUACCAGGGCCUCCUUUCAUUCCUCCAUUUCCCCCGCACCUUCAACAAGCUCCCUGUGAGCCACCUUCCCAUCCCUAUUUCAGGGACUCCAAGCAACCUGCCUCCAACACUUUUCUCCCUCAUGCCAUGGUCUCUAUGUAUCCCCCCCCACUGCUACAUGCUAGGGGCUCAUUGUGCCCCUCCGAUUCCCUCCUCCACCACAUGCAGAGGGUCAAUGUGCCCAUUCCCCCACAUGCCAAGGUCUCUGUGUUGCCCAUGUUCCCAUACAAGGGUCCCCUGUUCUUCCUUCUCUGCCAGAGGCCUUCUCCAAAAUGGCAGGGUCUCUCUCUACUGCUUCAUUUCUCCUUCCCCAUAUUUUCCCCUUCUUUACCAUGGCAGGGGCGCUGUGUCAACCUCACUCUUCCCCACCUCAUGCCAGCAACCUGUGUGGCUCCCAUGGCCCCCAUACCAUUGUCCCCCAUUUUCCUCCUCAGGCCCGGGGCUUUGUGUCCCCCCACAUUCCAUCCACCUUCUUAAUGCCUUAGAGAUACAAACAGAAAUGCCAUCACAUGGAAUGUUAGACCUUGCUUUGCUCAGCCAUAAAGUAUAAUAAAGAGCAAAUGUCUUCAUGAAAAGAAAAGGAGUACUUGUGGCACCUUAGAGACUAACAAAUUUAUUUGAGCAUAAGCUUUCGUAGCUCUGUAAAUGCUUUCAUUUCCUACUUUAUGCCCUAGCAGUAUGUUAGCUUUAAUGAAAAUAGGUUUCAGAGUAGCACCCGUGUUAGUCUGUAUUCGCAAAAAAGAAAAGGAGUACUUGUGGCACCUUAGAGACUAACAAAUUUAUUUGAGCAUAAGCUUUCACGAAAGCUUAUGCUCAAAUAAAUCUGUUAGUCUCUAAGGUGCCACAAGUACUCCUUUUCUUUUUUUAAAUGAAAAUGUUUCUCGUGAUGCAGUAGCUCUUAAACUAGGCUUGGUGUGUUAAAAUAUUUAGAUUAAUAUUUGUGGUAGCUAGAAAGAAAAUUGUGCUCAUCCAAUAUAAAUACACAAAUAGCAACUGUUUUUGUUUGCUGUAUUAUAAAACUUAAGUGAUGUUUUUAAAUUUAGUUCCAACUUGCAAAUAAUACCCUUUUCAGAGCAAGCUUCACUUAAUUUUCCAGUCUUACUAGAAGAAUACUUCUAAAACUUAAAUGAGUAAUUUUACAUAAAGCAUUAAAGGAAAUAUUAAGUGGGUGAAGACAACAGUCUCUACUUGUAAAAAAAUAGCUGAUGCAGUCAUUCAGUUGCAGUCAUGAAAAAAUACUAAAUUCUAUGAGACUUACAAACUGAUCUUCAUUUUAGAAGCAAAGUAUUAAACAAAAUAUUACUACCAGAGAGUGCAUAUGGGUCAAAAGUUACAUUAUGAGCAACACAAUGUGUUUCUUUUACUUGAUAAGUAAAACUAGCUAACAAAUUAUAGUUUCUAAUUAAGAACAUUUUCUGUCAGAUACCAUACAAUGUCCCAGCCUAGUUGACUUCCUUUUUUUUCCUUUCUGUACAAUAUCUGACAGCUCAUACUUAGAUGCAGACAGUUAGUUCAAUCCCAGUUAAGCAGUAUCCAGAAAAGAGCUGAACAUAUCAACCACCAAUCAAUCCAUUACAAGAAGUCUCAUCAUACUUUCCAUCCUGUGAGUAGAAGGUAGAGCACUCCACCAGAUCACCAUCUAGGAGUGCAAAAUGAAAGAGUGCUGCUUUGUGGAAUUCUUCCUUGCAUAAACUCCUGCUGGAUUGGACAUUUAUACAUGGGCUGGGAGCAGGACUUGGGAGACUGCCAUGCAAAUGGCACAGUAUUCUGACCCAAUCCUGUAGAAUGUUUCUGGGCAAGUUAUUGCUGAUACUAAGGUGGUUUUACAUCAUCUAUCAAAGCAUAUGGUCUGACGUGCUAUGUCAAUUCCUAUGUUCCUGAUCACAGUGCAGAAAAGUGCAUUUCUGGGGAGAAAAAUCUGUACACUUAUGCAUCAAUAACUAUACAGUAGCCCUGCAUUCUGGAUAGCUGAAACAAUUCCAUGUCAAUAUAAACAGCAUUAAACACAUAAUAGAACUAUCAACAGCAUACUGUUUCUUACAGAUAAUUUACAGAUUUCAUUGGAGUUGAAUAACUAACAAAUCCUAUAAUCUGCACUUUUGGUCAGUUACAUUGUUUCUUCUUUUAAGUGAGAUCUAUAAAACUAUGGGAAUACUCUUGCAAGGGAAAUGGUAGAAACUAAACUAGACAAAACUCUAGAAAAGAUUCACUAGGGAACAAUCCUGGACUACGUGGAGGAUGUACCAAAUUACCUAAUAGGCUUUUACCAUCCCUAACUUCUGUUCCUACAGUUUCCUACCUAGUAACUGAUGGAUUUC